This 226-nucleotide ribosomal RNA is filed under the name uncultured Lactobacillus sp. RNAcentral's name for it is "partial 16S ribosomal RNA". It matches the Rfam family "Bacterial small subunit ribosomal RNA", at positions 139 to 354 of the family's 1533-position model. The record is from RNAcentral. Lineage: Bacteria; Bacillati; Bacillota; Bacilli; Lactobacillales; Lactobacillaceae.
GGGAGUAACAACCUGGAAACAAGAUGCUAAUAACCGGAUAACAACAGAUGAUGCCUAUCAACUGUUUAAAAGAUGGUUCUGCUAUCACUCUUGGAUGGACCUGCGGUGCAUUAGCUAGUUGGUAGGGUAACGGCCUACCAAGGCGAUGAUGCAUAGCCGAGUUGAGAGACUGAUCGGCCACAUUGGGACUGAGACACGGCCCAAACUCCUACGGGAGGCAGCAGGA